GGGGGUAUAGCCCAGUGGCAGACCACAUGCUUAGCAUGCAGGAGGUCCUGAGUUCAAUCCCCAGUACCUCCA
Molecule: transfer RNA, 72 nt
Organism: Camelus ferus (Wild Bactrian camel)
Lineage: Eukaryota; Metazoa; Chordata; Mammalia; Artiodactyla; Camelidae
Rfam family: tRNA
About the family: Transfer RNA (tRNA) molecules are approximately 80 nucleotides in length. Their secondary structure includes four short double-helical elements and three loops (D, anti-codon, and T loops).
Source: Rfam